This 497-nucleotide ribosomal RNA is filed under the name uncultured bacterium. RNAcentral's name for it is "partial 16S ribosomal RNA". It matches the Rfam family "Bacterial small subunit ribosomal RNA", at positions 28 to 507 of the family's 1533-position model. The record is from RNAcentral.
GAUGAACGCUGGCGGCGUGCCUAAUACAUGCAAGUCGAGCGAACGGACGAGAAGCUUGCUUCUCUGAUGUUAGCGGCGGACGGGUGAGUAACACGUGGAUAACCUACCUAUAAGACUGGGAUAACUUCGGGAAACCGGAGCUAAUACCGGAUAAUAUUUUGAACCGCAUGGUUCAACAGUGAAAGACGUUCUUGCUGUCACUUAUAGAUGGAUCCUCGCUGCAUUAGCUAGUUGGUAAGGUAACGGCUUACCAAGGCAACGAUGCAUAGCCGACCUGAGAGGGUGAUCAGCCACACUGGAACUGAGACACGGUCCAGACUCCUACGGGAGGCAGCAGUAGGGAAUCUUCCGCAAUGGGCGAAAGCCUGACGGAGCAACGCCGCGUGAGUGAUGAAGGUCUUCGGAUCGUAAAACUCUGUUAUUAGGGAAGAACAUAUGUGUAAGUAACUGUGCACAUCUUGACGGUACCUAAUCAGAAAGCCACGGCUAACUACGUG